GUGCCGAGUAGUCAAAGGCACUUCCGCCCCAGGAUAGCGAGGCCAUCACUGUCCGGGAGGAAACACUGAAUCACCCCGCGCUAGUGCUUGGGGAUGUCCUCUGCCCCUGCAGUUUAUCCCGGAAACAGAGUUUAUCGUGCUAUCCCAGUGCAUCCUUUUCUUCACCACUCCUGAAUUCGGAAAGGGGAAGAAGAAGGGAUUUCUUGGCUUUUCAUAGCCCCAGUUCUGCCUUCUCAGGAUUCAGACCUUCACCAGAAGGAACAGGAGAAAAUGACCAAGUUUCAGGUAACUAAGGCAUUCCUUUCUGUCUCCUAAGAUGUGAUUUUAUUUCUCUCAGAUUAGGACAAUCUUUUUUCUCUUCCUUGGAAAGAUUAAUAGAAAACAACAGAUCUUGAGUGUGUGUUGUGUCCUGGACUGCGUGUGAUUUGUUUUAUUUUAUCUUUAUUAUUUCACAAAACAAUAUUUGGGAAAAAAAAAUAGAAAACUGAAAUAGAUAAAAGUAAUUUACACUACUACCCUGCUUACAAAUGAGCUCUUUUCACUUUCUCAUUUCCCUGUUUCACGUACGUUCGUAACUAUAUAUUUGGAAUAUUAGAAUUGACGGGAUAUACUUAUAUAUAUUAGAU
This 626-nucleotide long non-coding RNA is filed under the name Rhinolophus ferrumequinum (greater horseshoe bat). Its description in RNAcentral is "lncRNA (ENSRFEG00010020695.1)". Lineage: Eukaryota; Metazoa; Chordata; Mammalia; Chiroptera; Rhinolophidae. The record is from RNAcentral.